This is a long non-coding RNA of Girardinichthys multiradiatus, 206 nucleotides long. RefSeq lists it as uncharacterized. The record is from RefSeq and is a predicted model, not a curated record. Lineage: Eukaryota; Metazoa; Chordata; Actinopteri; Cyprinodontiformes; Goodeidae. The transcript is spliced from 2 exons.
CUCAGGGGUGAGAACCACCACCUUUUUACUGGAGCUAAAAACUCAGCCACCGUGGCUUGGAGGACAAUUCUGGAGAAGAUGGGCCAACAGGGGAAGGUCACCCUCUUGCAGGCCCAAAACAAAGUGGGAAAAUAUGAAAAGGAAAUAUAAAGUAUGUUCAGAAGUUCUCAUGUCACACACAAAUAAAAAAAAUAUUUCUAAAAGUC